CAGCCGCCGCGGUAAUUCGGAGGGUGCGAGCGUUAAUCGGAAUUACUGGGCGUAAAGCGCGCGUAGGCGGUUUGUUAAGUCGGAUGUGAAAUCCCCGGGCUCAACCUGGGAAUGGCAUUCGAUACUGGCCGACUAGAGUACGAGAGAGGGAGGUAGAAUUCCACGUGUAGCGGUGAAAUGCGUAGAUAUGUGGAGGAAUACCGGUGGCGAAGGCGGCCUCCUGGCUCGAUACUGACGCUGAGGUGCGAAAGCGUGGGUAGCAAACAGGAUUAGAUACCCUGGUAGUCCACGCCGUAAACGAUGUCUACUAGCCGUUGGGAGACUUGAUUUCUUAGUGGCGCAGCUAACGCACUAAGUAGACCGCCUGGGGAGUACGGCCGCAAGGUUAAAACUUAAAGGAAUUGACGG
Molecule: ribosomal RNA, 408 nt
Filed under: uncultured bacterium
Lineage: Bacteria
Description: bacterial SSU rRNA
Rfam family: Bacterial small subunit ribosomal RNA
Source: RNAcentral